UAAUUGAAGAGUUUGAUCAUGGCUCAGAUUGAACGCUGGCGGCAGGCCUAACACAUGCAAGUCGAGCGGUAACAGGGGAAGCUUGCUUCCCGCUGACGAGCGGCGGACGGGUGAGUAAUGUAUGGGGAUCUGCCCGAUAGAGGGGGAUAACUACUGGAAACGGUAGCUAAUACCGCAUAAUCUCUCAGGAGCAAAGCAGGGGAACUUCGGUCCUUGCGCUAUCGGAUGAACCCAUAUGGGAUUAGCUAGUUGGUGAGGUAAUGGCUCACC
Molecule: ribosomal RNA, 270 nt
Filed under: Providencia rettgeri
Lineage: Bacteria; Pseudomonadati; Pseudomonadota; Gammaproteobacteria; Enterobacterales; Morganellaceae
Description: partial 16S ribosomal RNA
Rfam family: Bacterial small subunit ribosomal RNA
Source: RNAcentral